This 30-nucleotide non-coding RNA is filed under the name Rattus norvegicus (Norway rat). The record is from RNAcentral. Lineage: Eukaryota; Metazoa; Chordata; Mammalia; Rodentia; Muridae.
UGGUGGCAUAUGUGCAGAUACGCUGCUGGU